UCAGUUCACUAAAGAGGACAGCAUCCCCAUAAUCUGAUCACCUCCUAAACACAUGAGACUUUGGGACUGGAGGUAUUCCAUACCUAAACUAUAACAAGAGAAUGCUUUUGAUGUGCCAACGGCAAUCCUGUUGCUUGACGAAGAUGUUCCUGAGGCAAUCUGCAAAAGCAAACCUAGGUCUGAAGUGGCUGCUGCUGUGCCGGCCUGGGCAUCACUGUCAGAACAUGGGCUGCUACAGGUGCAGGGGUGGAGCUGCCCCCUCUCCAGACUUCACCGUCCUGAGGGGCUUCCCCGAACCCUGUCUCCCCUUCUGCAAAUGGCUGCAACAUAUGACUGUUCUCAGUUGCCCUUUUGGAGUGUGGCAUACGUUCUGUGGUGCUCUUGCCUCAUUCUAUGUGUUUUACUCAUUGCAUUUAAAACAAACAUAUUGCUUUUUAAAAGACAAAGAAAAAGAGAAAA
Molecule: long non-coding RNA, 459 nt
Organism: Chinchilla lanigera (long-tailed chinchilla)
Lineage: Eukaryota; Metazoa; Chordata; Mammalia; Rodentia; Chinchillidae
Exons: 3
Source: RefSeq, a predicted model, not a curated record